GUCUCUGUAGCGUGAUGGACAGUGUGUGUGCGUUGAACUUCUAAUCCAAAGGUCGUGGAUUCAAAUCCCACCUGGGAUG
Non-coding RNA from Trichonephila clavipes, 79 nucleotides. Lineage: Eukaryota; Metazoa; Arthropoda; Arachnida; Araneae; Nephilidae. The record is from the annotation of a GenBank genome assembly.